Molecule: ribosomal RNA, 666 nt
Filed under: Anomala variegata
Lineage: Eukaryota; Metazoa; Arthropoda; Insecta; Coleoptera; Scarabaeidae
Description: eukaryotic LSU rRNA
Rfam family: Eukaryotic large subunit ribosomal RNA
Source: RNAcentral
GGGACCCGUCUUGAAACACGGACCAAGGAGUCUAGCAUGUGCGCGAGUCAUUGGGACUAAUAACGAAACCUAAAGGCGUAAUGAAAGUGAAGGUUCGCCUAGCGCGAACCGAGGGAGGAUGGACGGUCCUCAGCGGCCGUCCCGCACUCCCUGGGCGUCUCGUUCUCAUCGCGAGAAGAGGCGCACCAAGAGCGUACACGCUGGGACCCGAAAGAUGGUGAACUAUGCCUGGUCAGGACGAAGUCAGGGGAAACCCUGAUGGAGGUCCGUAGCGAUUCUGACGUGCAAAUCGAUCGUCGGAACUGGGUAUAGGGGCGAAAGACUAAUCGAACCAUCUAGUAGCUGGUUCCCUCCGAAGUUUCCCUCAGGAUAGCUGGCGCUCGCUUCUCGCGAGUCUCAUUCGGUAAAGCGAAUGAUUAGAGGCAUUGGGGUCGAAACGGCCUCAACCUAUUCUCAAACUUUAAAUGGGUGAGAUCUCCGGCUUGCUUGAACUGUGAAGCCGCGAGAUAUCGGAUCAGAGUGCCAAGUGGGCCACUUUUGGUAAGCAGAACUGGCGCUGUGGGAUGAACCAAACGCCGAGUUAAAGCGCCUAAAUCGACGCUUAUGGGAUACCAUGAAAGGCGUUGGUAACUUAAGACAGCAGGACGGUGGCCAUGGAAGUCGGAA